GGAAGUAAAAGUUGUAACAAGGUUUCCGUAGGUGAACCUGCGGAAGGAUCAUUAUUGUAUAACCGAGGUGCGAGGGCUGUCGCUGACCCGAAAGGUCGUGCACGCCCGAGUGCCCUCACACACAUCCAUCUCACCCCUAUGUGCACCACCGCGUGGGUCCCCCUUUGGCUUGUUCGGAGGGGGGCUUACGUUUUCACACAAACUUCGUAUGCAGUGUAGAAUGUAUUUUUUGUUUUUGCGAUCACGCAAUCAAUACAACUUUCAACAACGGAUCUCUUGGCUCUC
This 285-nucleotide unclassified non-coding RNA is filed under the name plant metagenome. RNAcentral's name for it is "partial contains small subunit ribosomal RNA, internal transcribed spacer 1, and 5.8S ribosomal RNA". The stretch from base 1 to 54 matches the Rfam family "Eukaryotic small subunit ribosomal RNA", at positions 1778 to 1831 of the family's 1831-position model. The record is from RNAcentral.